This 373-nucleotide ribosomal RNA is filed under the name uncultured bacterium. RNAcentral's name for it is "bacterial SSU rRNA". It matches the Rfam family "Bacterial small subunit ribosomal RNA", at positions 527 to 898 of the family's 1533-position model. The record is from RNAcentral.
AGAGGGUGCAAACGUUGUUCGGAAUUACUGGGCGUAAAGCGCGUGUAGGCGGCUUGGCAAGUCGGGUGUGAAAGCCCUGGGCUCAACCUAGGAAGUGCACUCGAAACUGCCUCGCUUGAAUGCCGGAGAGGAAAGCGGAAUUCUCGGUGUAGAGGUGAAAUUCGUAGAUAUCGAGAGGAACACCGGUGGCGAAGGCGGCUUUCUGGACGGUGAUUGACGCUGAGACGCGAAAGCGUGGGGAGCAAACAGGAUUAGAUACCCUGGUAGUCCACGCCGUAAACGAUGGGUGCUAGGUGUCGCGGGCUUUGACCCCUGCGGUGCCGUAGCUAACGCAUUAAGCACCCCGCCUGGGGAGUACGGCCGCAAGGCUAAA